Molecule: ribosomal RNA, 706 nt
Filed under: uncultured Bacteroidales bacterium
Lineage: Bacteria; Pseudomonadati; Bacteroidota; Bacteroidia; Bacteroidales
Description: bacterial SSU rRNA
Rfam family: Bacterial small subunit ribosomal RNA
Source: RNAcentral
UCGAGGGGCAGCAUUUCAGUUUGCUUGCAAACUGGAGAUGGCGACCGGCGCACGGGUGAGUAACACGUAUCCAACCUGCCGAUAACUCGGGGAUAGCCUUUCGAAAGAAAGAUUAAUACCCGAUGGUAUAAUCAGACCGCAUGGUCUUGUUAUUAAAGAAUUUCGGUUAUCGAUGGGGAUGCGUUCCAUUAGGCAGUUGGUGAGGUAACGGCUCACCAAACCUUCGAUGGAUAGGGGUUCUGAGAGGAAGGUCCCCCACAUUGGAACUGAGACACGGUCCAAACUCCUACGGGAGGCAGCAGUGAGGAAUAUUGGUCAAUGGGCGCAGGCCUGAACCAGCCAAGUAGCGUGAAGGAUGACUGCCCUAUGGGUUGUAAACUUCUUUUAUAUGGGAAUAAAGUUUUCCACGUGUGGAAUUUUGUAUGUACCAUAUGAAUAAGGAUCGGCUAACUCCGUGCCAGCAGCCGCGGUAAUACGGAGGAUCCGAGCGUUAUCCGGAUUUAUUGGGUUUAAAGGGAGCGUAGGUGGACAGUUAAGUCAGUUGUGAAAGUUUGCGGCUCAACCGUAAAAUUGCAGUUGAUACUGGCUGUCUUGAGUACAGUAGAGGUGGGCGGAAUUCGUGGUGUAGCGGUGAAAUGCUUAGAUAUCACGAAGAACUCCGAUUGCGAAGGCAGCUCACUGGACUGCAACUGACACUGAUGCUCGA